Molecule: small nuclear RNA, 131 nt
Organism: Balaenoptera musculus (blue whale)
Lineage: Eukaryota; Metazoa; Chordata; Mammalia; Artiodactyla; Balaenopteridae
Gene: U1
Rfam family: U1 spliceosomal RNA
About the family: U1 is a small nuclear RNA (snRNA) component of the spliceosome (involved in pre-mRNA splicing). Its 5' end forms complementary base pairs with the 5' splice junction, thus defining the 5' donor site of an intron.
Source: Ensembl
AUAGUUACCGGGCACGGGAGAGACUGUGGUCACGAACGUAGUUUUUCCAGGACGAGGCUCGUCUACUGCACUCAGGACGUGCUGAUGUAGGGAUUUGUGCUAAUGAGAGGUUGCGUUCGUGCUCUCCCCUG